AAUUGCCUCCGCUCCAACAUCAUCACUGUUAUACACCACCUCACCCUGACCUAUUUGAAUUUCUGCCAGAUGCAGCUUUUUUCUUCUUCCUUUGACGUAAUUAUGGAAGAACCUAGUAUUCUUAUGUCCAUCCUUAAACCACCUCAUCCCAGCUUUUUUCCUCCAAAACUCCUCCUCUAGGUAGAUAUAUUUUUUCAAGUUAGCCUCUGCCCUUUUCAAUUCUGCCCUGUUCUCAUCAUUUGUAUUAAUUUCAAUUGGAUUUCCUUGACCUUGACUUCAUCUUCUAGUGUUGCUACCUGCUGGAAAAUAUUUCCAAAAGUCUCCUUACUCGACCUCACCAGUGCCCCUUUCACUUUUUUCAUUUUAGCCUGAAAUUCAAUAAACAGGCAACCCACAAAAAUUCCAGUUUUCAUCAAUUAUUUUCUGAAACUGGGGGGUGUCUUGCAAAGAAAUUGAGAAACUUAAAAGGCCUGCUUGUCAGCUCCUCCUUUGAGUUGCAUAUGAUGUGUAAAGGUGCAUGAUCUGAUCCUUGUCUCACUAGAUGGUGCACUUUACUAGAAGGCAACAAAUUGAUAAACUCCUGAUUCCCAAAAACUCUAUCAAGUCUUUUAAAUAUUCUCUCCCUUUCAAUCCUCCUAUUCCACCAAGUAAGCAUGCUACCCAUAAAUUUAAGUUCUGUUAAAGCACAAUUAUAACGCGUUGACUGACCUCCAACGCCUCAACUUGAGUAAAAUCUAAUCCCCCUUGCUUCUCCUCCUCGUUCAGUAUAGUAUUAAAGUCACCUCCCACCAUCCUAGGGAUAUUAAUAUUUACAGAUAGAUCUUCCAACUCUUCCCACAACUCCAAUCUUUCUAAUGCAUUACAUCUAGCAUACACUGCUGUACAUAUCAUCUCCACAUUGUUCUUGCUCAACUUUAAAGCAACUUGUUGCAUACUAUCUCUUAACACUUCACCCCUCCCGUCAUCCUCCCAAAAAACCCAAAUUUUCGCAUAUACGUUGCAAUUUGCAUUUUGACAACCUAAAUUUCUUUUGUAUUGAUCUAGCUCCUUUGGACCCUGAAAUGGUUCCAUAACAGCUAUAAGAUUGUAUUUAUGACGCCUAUUUAGAUCCAUCAAACUCUCAAACGCCUUCUGAGACUUAACCUAUCUAAUGUUCCAAAAAAAUUGCUUUUCCAAUCAUUGGAAAAUGUCUUCUGAUCUUUCCCUACUACUCCUUGUUUUUACUUGAAGUGGUACAAUAUUCUGAUUUGACUUUGAUCUCUUUGUACCACUCUCCAAUAUUUUUAAUUUUCUUGGGGAUAAAUCCCCAUCUCUUCCCACCUUAUCUAUGUUAUCGUCAAAUUCAUCGUCUUCAUCUGUAUCUCUUAUUUCUUGAAUCUCCUCCACUGUCAACUCUUGUAGAUCAGGAAGAUCAUCCCUCAGACUCUCUCUAUCUCUCCUCUUAAUUUCAGACACUACCCCAUCAAUAGUCUGCACCCCAUGGUAUUCUACCAUCUCCAAACAUUUAUUCCCCAUAUUACUACUUCUAGCAUCCUUGUCAUUGCGUCUUUCACUCUCUUUUUUGCGUCUUUCACUCUCUGUUUCGUCAGUGUUCCUCUAUUCUUGAUAUUGUCACCCCCCUGCUAUAUCCACUAUCUCCUCUACGACUGAUCUCUUGACCUCUGCCCCUUUGUUUUUGGCUUCGUUCCCCUUAUCAAUUUCGGUUGUUUCUUUGAAAACUUCCUCAACCCAUUUCCUUGUAUCAAUCCUCUCCACCCCUAUCAUUUGUCCACCCUCUGUCUCCCCACAUUCUCCAGAUCAUUCAAUGCCCCAAAAGAAUUACCUGUUUUAAUCCCUUCCUGUUCUUUUUGAAUAUUUUCCUUAUUCCAAACCUGUUCUGUUUUCCCUCCCCAAUGUCGACCCCCUCCUAUCCCCCUUUUAUUGGUAUGCACCUUGAAAACGUUACUGUCUUUUCCUAACGUAUCCUUCUGGAUUUGCCCCUUCCUCUGCUAACCCCCCUUUUUCUCCUCUUGCUUGUCGAUCCCUUCGUCCUUCCCCACCUCUGCCUUUGGACAUAAUUCUGGAUGUAACACGUAAAUUGCUCCUGAUCAUGUCCUUGAAUUUUACAAUUCUUGCAAUAUUUUGGUACGUGGUCAUAUCGGAAUGUGAUCCAUUUCUCAGUGAUCUCCCCUGAUUGCUUCCUCAUGCCUACGCUUAUCCUUUUUGGAAACUCGCGUAAUAAAUCAAACUCCACCUUUACCCUUGCACAACUAGGUCGAGUCUGAUUCCUUGUUUCUAGGUCUACUUGUAGAGUCUUUCCAACUGCAGCUGCCAAUGAAAAAACUGCUUCUUUCACAAAGAAGUUGGGAGGAAGCGAUGGAAAAGAUGUCCAUGCUAUACUUGUUGAUGUUUCCUCCUCCGAAUCAAACAUUGGCUCCCACUUCAACGUUUGCAUUGGAUAUGUCCAGCCACGAUGCAGUAUAUAAAAAGCCGGCUUUGACAAGAUUCACGUAGUCUCCAAGCAUGAUGCCCUUAUUAAUAUAUACCUAUUGCUUAGCAAAGCUAUGUUACAUUCACCUUUCAACUCGCAUUGUUUUGGAAUUAAUUUUCUCAUAUCUUGAAUCUCAGGCCAGCCAUAUGAAAAUUUUCCUAUUACUGCGUACUCCAGAUUUUCUUUCACAAUCAUGUGUUCCACCUCCUCCUCAUCCCAUACUAUUCUAGGUUCACCAUGUAGGUGCACAAUAGGUUUUAAUACCGUCACUUUAACUUCUCGUAAUGGAUGUGCUGCUGCUAAAUAAUUAAGCUUAGGCACUGACUCGCUUUCCUUUGGAUGUAGAUCAACCCCAGUGGGAGGUUGCCUAGGCAUUUUGGUGGUCAUUGCCACCAGAAAUUCACAAAUAUUUUAGGCUCCCGGCGGCAACUUUUUAGACUAUUUUCAACCUACUUUUUGUCGUAUAUGUUGUUAAGACUUAAUAUUAUUCAAACCCUGGUUAGAAUUACCUAAAAAUAGAUUUUAAAUCCAACUUGAGUUAAUUUGAUUAGUGUAAAAUUGUAUAUGAUAGUAAUUUUUACUUUCUUCUAUAUUUAGCUCGAGAAGAGGUUUUAAAGUUCUCUAUUUCAUGAUCAAUAGUCAAGGUGAGGUAAAAAUCAAGUGAAUAUUUGUACUUCAAGAUUUCGAUUCCAUGUGAACUGAAAAUUUUCAUUUCUUUAGUCUUUUUGUUGUUCUUUGCUUGAUGAACUUUCCAGUUCUUUUCAGUGUCAACUCUAUUUUUAGUUGUGCAAAUCCUUGUCAAUAUUGAUAAAUGAACCUGUGGUAGCUUUUCUAAAUUUGUAUAGAAUACAAUUUUCUGUACAAUUGUAUUAUGUACAACCUAUGUACAAUUUCCUGGACAACCUAUGGUAGCUUUUCUAAAUGUCACUACCAGGAUAAUGUAGCUGCAGUGGCUCGCCAAUAUGUACGAAGUAUAGUAGGCUCUGUUCAGAGAGUUGCAAUGGCCAUAGCAACUUCUUGACUCACCUCUUAGUUAACACUUAAAUCCUUCCCUUGGUCACCUGAAGCUGUCACUUUAGCAAGGUGGAUUUCCCGGAGCUAUAGGCAUCUGCAGUUUUUACAGUUGCAAACUAGGCUGGUCUUGACAUGCUUGAAACCACUUUGUUAGCUCUUGAGGAUCUAAUGCUUGAUAAGAUUGUAGAUGAAGCUGGUCGUAAGGUCCUCCUAUCGGAGUUCUCCAAGAUCAUGCAGCAGUAGGAAUAUUUGUAUCUAGCAAGGGCAGGCCAAUAUUAUAUGAGCAAGCGAUAGCAUGGAAGGUUCUCAACGGCGAAUACAAUUUUCAGUUUUGUUGUGCAAAUUGUGAAACUAUGGAACUGUAUUCACGUGCAAAAGCACAACAAGAAGAAAUUCUAUAUCUUCGGGAACAGAUUGCUCUUGCCAGGCACUAGAUGAGAAGCAGAACGAAGCUAUAAUAUCUGCCUCAAAUGAACUGACUCGGAGGAAAGGUGAUCUUGAAGAAAACCUAAGAUUAGUGAAUGAGUUAAAGGUAACCAAUCAGAAGAUAUAGGCAUUGGCAGAGUCGCAUUCAACCUAGAUUGACUGUGAAUUCUUUUCCCUUUUUUGGGAAUAUAAGCUUCAAGUUUUAAAAAUUAUUUCUCUACUUGUGGUUCUUAACGUUACUGCACAAUAUUGGUUGCUUCUCUGCAGUUCUUAACAAUAAUUUUGUUGUUAAGUCAUCUAUCGAUCAGAACUGAGGGAGAAGGUAUAUUUUUCAUUUCCUUACAUCAACUUUAGUAUAGUCUGUUUUUUUUCAAUUCUUAGACUCUAAUUCAUAUAUAAUUGAAUAAUAAAUUAACUUAUCUGGUGCCUGUGUUUAUAGUUUGGUGACCUUAGCAGUGAUAAACACCAAGUGAAGAGAAGGAAGGAGAAGAUCUUUGUACAUAUGGUAGCGAGAAAUCAAAUGUUGAGAUUGAAUUGUUUAUAAGACCACCGAAGUGAAGAGUAAGGCUUCUCUAAAAGAAUUGAUUGGUGUAGUAUCCUCUUGCCAAUCUGCAGUUAAAGGGGUAGUUAAAUAUUUGUCAAAUAGUCUUCAUGUUAUUUUCUAUUACUUAAAUCGGUAGUCGUGCAUAGAUUACUUUGCAUAAAUUACUUGAACAUGUAGUCGGGCAUAACAACUCGUCAGGUAGUCCACAAAAACAGAUGCUUGCACAUCCCGCAGUGGCAGAUUUUUCACUCAUUGUGAUUGGAAUUCUACUCUUGAAAGUAUUUUGGAGGAAGUCCCUUCGAUAUGCAAACCAUUUCUAGCAGACCAACCGGUGAACAUAAGGUCAUUGAUUCAAAUAUACAAGAUUGGGUUUGAAUGGGAGGUUAUGAAAAGAAUCAUCAUAGAGAAAACAUUAGAAGACUCAUUUUAAGUGUAGAAGGAAAAGAGGUGAAAAAAAGAGUACCAAACAUGCAGCAAAGCAUAGUUGCUGGUAUGUAGAUUGAUGGUAUUUCACAUAAGAAUAUGAAAGAGUUUGGUAGACUUCAUAUAUCCCUUGCCAUCAUGACUCCCUCCGCCAACACCUGCUGUUCGGGCAAUCUUCAGCUCAAACCUAUACCAAGCAAGUGUUCGAAGAAUCUUUGUUGCCUGCUACCUUGGCACGACAACAAGUCUUUAAUCACAAAAGGAAGAAUAAGAUCCUCUCGAUAUUACAUAUGAUCGUGAUCCAAGUUGUCAUACUUUCACCGACUCAAUUUUCUUCUUUCUUCAUUGUUGAACACAUUCUUUUUAUUUGUUUUGAUACCUUGAACACAAUCAUAUAGGUAAUUCAUAUCUUUACCACUAGAAGACAAUAAAGUGGAUGUAUUAAGUUUUUGAUUGUUCUUAUAAUUGAAUGACAACGUCUGAGUUUGGUAA
Solanum lycopersicum (tomato) is the source of this 5369-nucleotide long non-coding RNA. RefSeq lists it as uncharacterized. The record is from RefSeq and is a predicted model, not a curated record. Lineage: Eukaryota; Viridiplantae; Streptophyta; Magnoliopsida; Solanales; Solanaceae.